CCCGAAAAGUACGUCUCAGUUCGGAUUGGAGUCUGCAACUCGACUCCAUGAAGCUGGAUUCGCUAGUAAUCGCGCAUCAGCCAUGGCGCGGUGAAUACGUUCCCGGGCCCUGUACACACCGCCCGUCAAGCCAUGGAAGCCGGGGGUGCCUGAAGUGUGCAACCGCAAGGAGCGCCCUAAGGUAAAACUGGUGACUGGGGCUAAGUCGUAACAAGGUAAC
Molecule: ribosomal RNA, 220 nt
Filed under: uncultured bacterium
Lineage: Bacteria
Description: partial 16S ribosomal RNA
Rfam family: Bacterial small subunit ribosomal RNA
Source: RNAcentral